This 774-nucleotide ribosomal RNA is filed under the name uncultured Neocallimastigales. Its description in RNAcentral is "partial large subunit ribosomal RNA". It matches the Rfam family "Eukaryotic large subunit ribosomal RNA", at positions 24 to 614 of the family's 3401-position model. Lineage: Eukaryota; Fungi; Neocallimastigomycota; Neocallimastigomycetes; Neocallimastigales. The record is from RNAcentral.
UAUCUCUGUAGAGUCUGCAUAUCAAUAAGCGGAGGAAAAGAAACUAACUAGGAUUCCCUCAGUAACGGCGAGUGAAGCGGGAAGAGCUCAAAUUUGAAAUCUUCAAGGUUUUACCUUGACGAAUUGUAGUUUAAAGAAGUGUUUUCUGUUGGAGUUUUGGUAAAAGUUCUUUGGAAUAGGACAUCAUAGAGGGUGAGAAUCCCGUAUUUGACCAUUAUUUCCAGCUUUGUGAUACACUUUCAAAGAGUCGGAUUGUUUGGGAAUGCAGUCCAAAAUGGGUGGUAAAUUUCAUCUAAAGCUAAAUACUGGCGAGAGACCGAUAGCGAACAAGUACCGUGAGGGAAAGAUGAAAAGAACUUUGAAAAGAGAGUUAAACAGUACGUGAAAUUGUCAAAAGGGAAGCGUUUGACACCAGUGUUGUUUUCUCGAAAAUCAAUUAAAAAUGGCGGGAUUUUGUGUUGUAUUGACUUUAUCAGCUUUCUGCACUCUUUUCCUGUCUUUUUUAAUGCACUUUUCGUUUAACAAGUCAACAUCAAUUUCUUUUGUUGUAAAAGGGUCAUUGGAAGGUGGCUUUCUUUUCGGAGAAAGUGUUUAUAGCCUUUGGCCUCUGCAAUCGGAGAGAUUGAGGUCUGCAGCGUAGAUCCUUCGGGGUUAGAUACAUUUGUGCUAAGUUAUAGCCUUUCAUAGACAACUUGUUGACUAUGAUCAGUCAUGUAGCUUACUCGCUUAUGCUAUUUUACCUACGCUUAGGAUGUUGAGUCAUCACACAUCUCU